AUAAAAAAUACAAGUUUAUUCAUCAUAAUCGAUAUUGUCCCCUUCAAAGUACUCCCCAUCGACUGCACCGUACUUAUGCCAGCGCUUGACUCAAUCCCUAUUGAAAUUUCAUCACCAUACAGUAAAGCAAAUAUGUAGAUAACUUAGGCAUCCGAUGUUAUAAAUAUGAGUAAAUUAAAGCGGCUUAACGGUCGCAAGUAUUUGUUAAAGCUUCAGCUACUCAGUUUACUCGCUAACAAGUUACCUACUUACUGGCUUACUUUACCGGGGUAUGUCGUAGUCGUUUGAACACUAUCCUGGCAGGAUCGCUAAAAAUGUAAUGGUCAAGAACUGAAUAAGUGUUUUAAAAAAAGUCGCUCUGAACAAACUACAGCAUUAUGUGGCGAGCGAUCGAGGACUAGAGGUAAUACCCAGACGUGUUUAAACGUUAUUAUGCUAGAAACAUUGAUGCACCACACAGUGUAAGGCUACACGCAUUUCAUUAGACUCGUAUUUUGUUCUCUGCAGGUCACUUCUUUUUAAUGCUCUCAAAAGUUGGCUUUCUUAUUCAACGCACAAAGUUUGCUAAGCAUUCUUUUGCCAUAUGCUUGGUCCACGAACCUCUCGCCGAGUUAUAUGUAAUGAGAUAAUAUAAACAAUUUCGAGGCUCGACAGAAGGUGGAUUGUACUGCGGAAACCUCCAGAGCCUGGGAUGUCGCAACCCUCACAACGCCACCGGUUGCCGAGCCAUCCGACGGUAAUAAGAUUCCCUGAUAAGUGGAUUCAAUCCUUUCCCUCUCACCUUUCAUGGACGUUCAAUAAAUAAAUAUCAAGAGUACACUGCCCGACGCUUAUCGUU
Molecule: long non-coding RNA, 838 nt
Organism: Belonocnema kinseyi
Lineage: Eukaryota; Metazoa; Arthropoda; Insecta; Hymenoptera; Cynipidae
Exons: 3
Source: RefSeq, a predicted model, not a curated record